This is an RNA transcript of Fukomys damarensis (Damara mole-rat), 702 nucleotides long. RefSeq lists it as uncharacterized. The transcript is spliced from 5 exons. The record is from RefSeq and is a predicted model, not a curated record. Lineage: Eukaryota; Metazoa; Chordata; Mammalia; Rodentia; Bathyergidae.
GCUCAUUUCUUAAAUGCCAAGUCUUUAAGAACUCUUCAUGGGAUGCUCUCUGUUCCCGGCCCUAGAGGGACUUCAGGACUGUUUCUGCUGAAAACACUGACUGUCCCAUAAAUGACUGGACCAGGGAUGACAGGUGUCGGUCUGCAAGGCUCCAUGGGCAUUGGCCCAGGAUGAAACAAAGCCUAAAGGAAUACAGAAGUCCCACAACAUUCCAGCUGAAUAGCUUUUGCUGUGGAGCCAUGGCAGAGCCAGAGCAUUAAGCCUUGUUUCAAGUUUCUUGUCAGGUGCCGGACUCUAUCUGCCCAGAGAAUGCCUUUGCACACUGUUUAGUCCGCAGCUGGUGAGUGGAUCCACACAGCUCAGGAGAGCUGGAUUGUGUUCAGAUGCAGCCAGGGGAAGAAUCCUUGCCUGGACUCUCUGGCAAGCUCUAAGGAAAACCUCUCAAAAACAACAUCGCCAUCACCAUGGCCUGUGCGCCAUUCACAGGUAUCCGCUCUACUUCUCUGGCUGGUUCCUGCUCAUGAACUGGCACUGAGGUGGCUCCUCUGAAGCCAAGGUAGCUCGUGAAGGACACCAGGAUGGAGAGGGGAGUCCAGAGGGGAACGCAUGGAUCUCUCUCGGGGUCUGUGGCUCCUCCCUCUGGGCCUUCUCAGGGGCGGAGUCCAGGUGCUCACAUCCGCUUUGCACUGCAUUCUAGUGAAG